CAUGAGAUUGUUUUUUCUGAUGAGGAGCUGUGUGAAAAUAUGUUGGAAAAAAGGGACGAAGUGGGUCUAACAAAUCAAAAAAAUGAAGAAAAGGAGGACAUAAAUGGAGAUGUAAAUGAGGAUAAAAAGAAAGACAUAAUAGACGGAAUGGACGGAAUAGGCGAAAUAGACGAAAUAGACAAUAAAAAUAAGGAUUAUAUUGAUUUUACAGAUUACGCACCUAAUCAAAGUAAAUUAAUUUAUGAUGAGAAAGAAAAACAGAAUACUACAACUAACAUAACACAAAUAAAAAAAUUAAAUACCAUAACAAGCGAAACGAAUGCACAAAAUAUAUUCGAUGUGGUUUCGAACAUGGGAUUAUAUGUAAACACAAAUGCAGUAUGUAUAUCUGAAAAAAAAUUAAAUAAUGAAGACAAUAAGUUGACUAAUAUGAUGACUAUGACAGAAACGGAAAAAGUAAGUAAGUCCGAUUGGAAUGAUAAUAAUACUUAUUCAAAUUCAAAAAACAUUAAUGAUUUAAAAAUAAAUAAACAUUUUAAUAAUGACAAACAAGCGAGUACUAACAAUAAAUGUAUUGAACAAAAUGAAACUGUAUUGAGCGUUGAAAAUUGUAUAAAUAUCGAAAAGGAUGCAAAUAAUGUAGAUGGUCAUGUUAUGGUUAGUAACAUCAUUAAUGUUUUCAGUAGCAGUAACAACAGUGUAAGUAAUAGUAAUAAUAACAAUCAUUCGCAAAUAAACAUAAAUAAAAAAAAAAAAACUGAUAUAAAAAUUGUGAGUAAAAACAAAAUAAACGAAACGGACAAAUUUUUUAAUGAGAAGAAGUACAAAAUGGGUACUACUUCUACUACUGCAAUUGUCACUCCUACUGAUAAUAAUNNNNNNNNNNUUAAAAAAAUAAAACGAAUGCAUGAGAUUGUUUUUUCUGAUGAGGAGCUGUGUGAAAAUAUGUUGGAAAAAAGGGACGAAGUGGGUCUAACAAAUCAAAAAAAUGAAGAAAAGGAGGACAUAAAUGGAGAUGUAAAUGAGGAUAAAAAGAAAGACAUAAUAGACGGAAUGGACGGAAUAGGCGAAAUAGACGAAAUAGACAAUAAAAAUAAGGAUUAUAUUGAUUUUACAGAUUACGCACCUAAUCAAAGUAAAUUAAUUUAUGAUGAGAAAGAAAAACAGAAUACUACAACUAACAUAACACAAAUAAAAAAAUUAAAUACCAUAACAAGCGAAACGAAUGCACAAAAUAUAUUCGAUGUGGUUUCGAACAUGGGAUUAUAUGUAAACACAAAUGCAGUAUGUAUAUCUGAAAAAAAAUUAAAUAAUGAAGACAAUAAGUUGACUAAUAUGAUGACUAUGACAGAAACGGAAAAAGUAAGUAAGUCCGAUUGGAAUGAUAAUAAUACUUAUUCAAAUUCAAAAAACAUUAAUGAUUUAAAAAUAAAUAAACAUUUUAAUAAUGACAAACAAGCGAGUACUAACAAUAAAUGUAUUGAACAAAAUGAAACUGUAUUGAGCGUUGAAAAUUGUAUAAAUAUCGAAAAGGAUGCAAAUAAUGUAGAUGGUCAUGUUAUGGUUAGUAACAUCAUUAAUGUUUUCAGUAGCAGUAACAACAGUGUAAGUAAUAGUAAUAAUAACAAUCAUUCGCAAAUAAACAUAAAUAAAAAAAAAAAAACUGAUAUAAAAAUUGUGAGUAAAAACAAAAUAAACGAAACGGACAAAUUUUUUAAUGAGAAGAAGUACAAAAUGGGUACUACUUCUACUACUGCAAUUG
This 1762-nucleotide long non-coding RNA is filed under the name Piliocolobus tephrosceles (Ugandan red Colobus). RNAcentral describes it as "lncRNA (ENSPTEG00000001563.1)". Lineage: Eukaryota; Metazoa; Chordata; Mammalia; Primates; Cercopithecidae. The record is from RNAcentral.